CCUACGGGUGGCAGCAGUAGGGAAUCUUUCACAAUGGGCGAAAGCCUGAUGGAGCAACGCCGCGUGCAGGAUGAAGGCCUUCGGGUUGUAAACUGCUUUUAUAAGCGAGAAAUAUGAUGGUAACUUAUGAAUAAGGAUCGGCUAACUACGUGCCAGCAGCCGCGGUCAUACGUAGGAUCCGAGCAUUAUCCGGAGUGACUGGGUGUAAAGAGUUGCGUAGGUGGCAUAAUAAGUAGCUAGUGAAAGCUGGUGGCUCAACCAUUCAGACUAUUAGCUAAACUGUUAAGCUCGAGACCGUUAGGGGUAACUGGAAUUUCUAGUGUAGGAGUGAAAUCCGUAGAUAUUAGAAGGAACACCAAUAGCGUAGGCAGGUUGCUGGGACGGUUCUGACACUAAGGCACGAAAGCGUAGGGAGCAAAUGGGAUUAGAUACCCCUGUAGUC
This 442-nucleotide ribosomal RNA is filed under the name uncultured bacterium. RNAcentral describes it as "partial 16S ribosomal RNA". It matches the Rfam family "Bacterial small subunit ribosomal RNA", at positions 338 to 795 of the family's 1533-position model. The record is from RNAcentral.